Molecule: ribosomal RNA, 95 nt
Filed under: Caerostris darwini
Lineage: Eukaryota; Metazoa; Arthropoda; Arachnida; Araneae; Araneidae
Source: RNAcentral
GAAUAUACCGGUUCUCGUUAGAUCACCGAAGUCAAGCAUCAUUGGGCGCGGUCAGUACUUGGGUGGGUGACCACCUGGGAACACUGCGUGCCGUU